RNAcentral lists this ribosomal RNA (234 nucleotides) under uncultured bacterium. Its description in RNAcentral is "partial 16S ribosomal RNA". It matches the Rfam family "Bacterial small subunit ribosomal RNA", at positions 15 to 244 of the family's 1533-position model. The record is from RNAcentral.
GAUCCUGGCUCGGGAUGAACGCUAGCGACAGGCUUAACACAUGCAAGUCGAGGGGCAGCGGGGUGUAGCAAUACACCGCCGGCGACCGGCGCACGGGUGAGUAACGCGUAUGCAACCUGCCCACCACUUGGGGAUAACCUUGCGAAAGUAAGACUAAUACCCAAUGAUAUCUCUAGAAGACAUCUGAAAGAAAUUAAAGAUUCAUCGGUGAUGGAUGGGGAUGCGUCUGAUUAG